Molecule: ribosomal RNA, 1450 nt
Filed under: uncultured organism
Description: 16S ribosomal RNA
Rfam family: Bacterial small subunit ribosomal RNA
Source: RNAcentral
GAUGAACGCUAGCUACAGGCUUAACACAUGCAAGUCGAGGGGCAGCAUUUUAGUUUGCUUGCAAACUGAAGAUGGCGACCGGCGCACGGGUGAGUAACACGUAUCCAACCUGCCGAUAACUCCGGAAUAGCCUUUCGAAAGAAAGAUUAAUACCGGAUAGCAUACGAAUAUCGCAUGAUAUUUUUAUUAAAGAAUUUCGGUUAUCGAUGGGGAUGCGUUCCAUUAGUUUGUUGGCGGGGUAACGGCCCACCAAGACUACGAUGGAUAGGGGUUCUGAGAGGAAGGUCCCCCACAUUGGAACUGAGACACGGUCCAAACUCCUACGGGAGGCAGCAGUGAGGAAUAUUGGUCAAUGGGCGAGAGCCUGAACCAGCCAAGUAGCGUGAAGGAUGAAGGCUCUAUGGGUCGUAAACUUCUUUUAUAUGGGAAUAAAGUUUUCCACGUGUGGAAUUUUGUAUGUACCAUAUGAAUAAGGAUCGGCUAACUCCGUGCCAGCAGCCGCGGUAAUACGGAGGAUCCGAGCGUUAUCCGGAUUUAUUGGGUUUAAAGGGAGCGUAGGUGGAUUGUUAAGUCAGUUGUGAAAGUUUGCGGCUCAACCGUAAAAUUGCAGUUGAAACUGGCAGUCUUGAGUACAGUAGAGGUGGGCGGAAUUCGUGGUGUAGCGGUGAAAUGCUUAGAUAUCACGAAGAACUCCGAUUGCGAAGGCAGCUCACUAGACUGUCACUGACACUGAUGCUCGAAAGUGUGGGUAUCAAACAGGAUUAGAUACCCUGGUAGUCCACACAGUAAACGAUGAAUACUCGCUGUUUGCGAUAUACAGUAAGCGGCCAAGCGAAAGCAUUAAGUAUUCCACCUGGGGAGUACGCCGGCAACGGUGAAACUCAAAGGAAUUGACGGGGGCCCGCACAAGCGGAGGAACAUGUGGUUUAAUUCGAUGAUACGCGAGGAACCUUACCCGGGCUUAAAUUGCAACAGAAUAUAUUGGAAACAGUAUAGCCGUAAGGCUGUUGUGAAGGUGCUGCAUGGUUGUCGUCAGCUCGUGCCGUGAGGUGUCGGCUUAAGUGCCAUAACGAGCGCAACCCUUAUCUUUAGUUACUAACAGGUCAUGCUGAGGACUCUAGAGAGACUGCCGUCGUAAGAUGUGAGGAAGGUGGGGAUGACGUCAAAUCAGCACGGCCCUUACGUCCGGGGCUACACACGUGUUACAAUGGGGGGUACAGAAGGCGGCUACCUGGUGACAGGAUGCUAAUCCCAAAAACCUCUCUCAGUUCGGAUCGAAGUCUGCAACCCGACUUCGUGAAGCUGGAUUCGCUAGUAAUCGCGCAUCAGCCAUGGCGCGGUGAAUACGUUCCCGGGCCUUGUACACACCGCCCGUCGAGCCAUGAAAGCCGGGGGUACCUGAAGUACGUAACCGCAAGGAGCGUCCUAGGGUAAAACUGGUAAUUGGGGC